AGGGGAACCGAUGCGGCUUAGGUUUUGGCGCCAUUGCAAUCCUUGUUCCUUUAGAAACGGAAUGGCUGGCCUGGCUGCGCUCCUUUUGAUGACCGCAAGGCCUUGCCUGACCGGCUGGCUGGCUGGCUGGCAAAUAUACCCUCUCUUUCUUUCAUGCCAUGCCUGUUCCCUUGACUAACAUUUUGAUGCGCACCACUAGCUAACCUGCAUGCCGCGCCUAGUGUCCACUGAUGAACACAGCAUGCUUAGUAUCAUUUUGUUUACCUUUUCAGGCCCCCCUCUUUCUUCCCCACUUGGUAACCUUCUGUAUUAUGCAUAUGCUGACAGCGGGGUGAAACAAUGCGUGAAAACUAAGGCCACUCAGUGCGCGACCCCAUCUCAUCCGUCCUAGUCCGUUUGGAGUUAAACAGACGAAUAGGGCGACCCAACGGACAACCCUAAACGGACAAAUGUCCGGUUUUCGUCCGUUUUCGACCCAUUUCCGGCCCAAACAUGUGCCGCGUUUAGGAUGAAACGGAAAGCGCGCGGACGGACGGGUUGCACUCCCUUGUCCUCCCCAUGGCCCGUCUGUCGGGGACACUAGCGCUUCAUUCACCUCCAACGCCUC
Molecule: long non-coding RNA, 607 nt
Filed under: Hordeum vulgare
Lineage: Eukaryota; Viridiplantae; Streptophyta; Magnoliopsida; Poales; Poaceae
Description: long non-coding RNA (HVUL_LNC006436)
Source: RNAcentral